AUGUCAAAGUCAAAUUCAAAGUCCAAGAAAGCGAGGCUAGAAUAAAGCUCUAGAGGCCCCCAACAAAUAGUUGUCUAUCAGGAAAGACCAACUAGAGCAUAGUUGUCUGUAGAUCUUGUCAGGCUGGGUCUUUAGGAGCAUUUGAACAAUAUUUAUUUGUUUUAUUUAAAUCUGAGUUGUCGGAACAGAAUAUUUGACUAGUUGUUAUCUGUAAUAAUCUGUUUGUUAUUUGGGACACGGUAUGGGUCGUGUUAAUUUAAACUGAAUAGUGAUGAUAAUUGUUAUGGAAACUUCUGGACAAUCUGUUUCGCUC
Molecule: long non-coding RNA, 313 nt
Filed under: Helianthus annuus (common sunflower)
Lineage: Eukaryota; Viridiplantae; Streptophyta; Magnoliopsida; Asterales; Asteraceae
Description: sRNA HanXRQr2_Chr08g0323001
Source: RNAcentral